This 21-nucleotide non-coding RNA is filed under the name Caenorhabditis elegans. Lineage: Eukaryota; Metazoa; Nematoda; Chromadorea; Rhabditida; Rhabditidae. The record is from RNAcentral.
UGCGUAACCGUUUCUGUGUGA